CAUGGUUCUGCUAUUAGCAAUUUGUAUAUAUGUUAGAUACUUUCGCAAGAAGAAUGGAGAAGAAGAGUCUAAAUUGCCACCAGAAGAUUCAAUGUCACCUUCAACUAAAGAUGGUAUAUGUACAACUUUCGUACUCAAAUUCCUUGCAUGACCCUUACCUCUUAAAUAUAGUGAAUGAACUGUUCCAUUAUUCAUGAGCUCAACUUAUUUUUAAAGUGUCUAGUGAACAACAAUGGACGAAGAGGGUUGAUUAAUCGCUAAACUUUCUCGACACAAUUACUUUCCUCCAAGACGGGUUAAUAACUUAUUGAGCAAUGGGAUACGCAGAUGAACCCAACAAAUAAAUAUUCAUAUUGUUAUAAUUCUGUAAAGAAAAAACAGGUUGUUAUAAUAACAGCAUAAUACAAAUUACCUGAAAAAUGAUAAAAGUGGUUAGUUUUCUACCAACGUUACUUUAUACUGUGAAAUUACCUUUUCAUUAUAUUCAAUGUACAUAUUUAUUAAAAACUACAUUUCGAAUAUAUUCUUCGGCAACUCAAGGUAAAACAAGGGUCAAGAUUGUAGGUUGUACAUAUUUAAGUAUUAUUACAUCCACAAACAAAAAUUAUUCGGGUAAAAAAAAUAAAUAAAUGCAGGUACUUUAAUUAUUUUAAAUAUACACAUGAUUUAUAUGUUCCUAAAAAUGAUGUGUCUAAAAUUAACAAAGAUAUUUUAUGGUUAAUUUAUUGAGCUUAAUUAGUUAAAGUCAUUUUUUAAAACGAGACAUUGUAGUUGUUAGAUAUAAAUAAUUUCCUUUUCAUCAAAGUUUGAAUAAUUGAGUUACCUAACCCAAUAUCAUGCUUUAUUCUUAAUAAUUCAAAUGUUUUUCAUAUAUAUGGAAUCAGUGAUGGUAUUAAUUAGUUCCCAAACUAAUUUUUCAUAUAUGUUUUUGUCUCUGAAAGUUGCUUUUUUGUCCAUGUUUUAGUUUUGGUAAUUAAGUUUGUUCAUAUUAAUUAGUUCUAAUGUGUGUACUAUAUAGAUCAUACUAAUUUUGUUCCCAAACUCAUCUUAGUUAGGAUCUUUGUAUCUACUAUAAGAUUAAUCCUUGUGUCGAUAUAAGAAUAUUCGUCAUGUUAUCAACUAUCACAAUAUUGUAUUGGUGAGAUCAUAUAAGAUUUGAUGUCAACAUCUUCUUCAAGGUCUCAGGUUCGAUUCUCCCCAGUAUCAAUUUACAUGAGCUAAUUUAGCUUCUUAAAAAAUAAAAUCAAACAACUUUUACAUAGACUCAAAGUGAAAACUUGGAUAUAAAGUAUCCUUAUACUACUCUUUAGUCUUGAUUAGUCUCUGCAAAGAUAUUUAUAUGUACUUUGUAUUAUCAUAAGAACAUUCAUUGACAUUUUAAGUUAAUGAAUUACUAACAUGUCAACUCUUAUUCUAGCCAACAGUUACUUUGUUCCCUCCACAUUCUCUUUGAAAUAGUCAAACGUAUCCAAUCAUGCAUGUCUGUUCUGAUCAUAACAGCAAAAGCAUGUGUAUAGAAAAUUGAUAGUUGAAUUAGAGUCAUUUUCCAUAAAAAAAUAUUCAAUAAGUGUGACAUUAUUUUUCAUAUGAAUUAAUCCAUUUUUUGCUGAUUUGAGAUUCUUUCUUUCUUUGCUUCUUGCUUUCCUUCAUCAGCCAUUAUUUUUGUUUUCUCUUUCUCUCUCUCUUCUUGAUUCAAUGAAUCUCAAAAAUGGAUUACUAUUGUUCAUUCUGUUUCUGGAUUGUGUUUUUUUCAAAGUUGAAACCAAAUGUGUAAAAGGGUGUGAUGUAGCUUUAGCUUCCUACUAUAUUAUGCCAUCAAUUCAACUCAUAAAUGUAUCAAACUUUAUACAAUCAAAGAUUGUUCUUACCAAUUCCUUUGAUGUUAUAAUGAGCUACAAUAGAGUCGUAGUAUUCGAUAAAUCUGGUCUUAUUUCCUAUACUAGAAUCAACGUUCCGUUCCCAUGUGAAUGUAUUGGAGGUGAAUUUCUAGGACAUGUGUUUGAAUAUACAACAAAAGAAGGAGACGAUUAUGAUUUAAUUGCAAAUACUUAUUAUGCAAGUUUGACAACUGUUGAGUUAUUGAAAAAGUUCAACAGCUAUGAUCCAAAUCAUAUACCUGUUAAGGCUAAGAUUAAUGUCACUGUAAUUUGUUCGUGUGGGAAUAGCCAGAUUUCAAAAGAUUUUGGCUUGUUUGUUACCUAUCCACUCAGGUCUGAUGAUACUCUUGCGAAAAUUGCGACCAAAGCUGAUCUUGAUGAAGGGUUGUUACAAAAUUUCAAUCAAGAUGCCAAUUUCAGCAAAGGAAGUGGGAUAGUGUUCAUUCCAGGAAGAGGUAUGUAUUUUCUCAUUUUCUGCCAACUGUGGUUGGCACAGAUGGUUUGAACUUCUGUCACAUCCGUUGUAACUUUGAUAAGUCUGAAAUUCCGCAGUUUGUAGAUUAUUGGUAAAUUCCAUUAUAAAUGUUUAAUGCGAUUUGGUGAUUCUUAUCAAAAGUACUUGUAUAAGUAUGCGAGUUAGAUAAAAAAAAAUUAUGACCAUCUUGUUCUCGUGGAAAUGGACUCUGAUAAUUCAUAAAGUCUAGCCAAUGAUUGUAACAACCAGGUUUUGAACUUAGUACUUCCAAUCAACUUGACCUUCACCGGACCUCAUUGACCACUCGAGUCGAACCAUUUAAUUUCAGUUAGAGUAUAUUUAAAUGCUAAGUUACUCUAUUAUUUUUCAAAGUAUAUACAUGGAAUAAAUUGAACUAUGAUUGGGUUUAAAUUCAGGUUACAUUUUUUAUUUUACUGAUAUGAAAAAAACUACAGUAUCUUUUUAUAGAAAAAAACUACACUAUAUUUGUUAAUGUAUAUACAGUGUAAACAUGUAAAAUUUAAAUAGAAGGCAAAAUUGAAAAUUUUCAAAAAUAUAUUAAUUGCUUGACCAUAUUAUCCAAUUUAUGCUAUAGGUAGAAUGAAGUUGAUGAACAUGUUUUAUUAGUGAACCUGACAUUCUAGUUUAUCAUGGAUGAGUAAUCAAUAAAUGAUAAUAUUACAUCUAACUUUUUAAUUGUUUGUUCCUCUAUGUUAUUGAAAAAUGCAUUAAGUGAUGUUUUUUUGUUUAUUGAUUGAUAUGUUUGCAUUUUAUGUAUGACUAUUUGUUCUUUUGUUUUAUUUUUUAUUCCUUUAAUUUUGCAGAUGAAAAUGGAGUUUAUGUUCCCUUGCCCUCUAGGUAAGUUUCAUUGUGUUAGCCUUACCUUUCAUACUUAUUACUCACAGCAAUGAAAAUUCAUUUUUUUCCAUUUCGUUUCCCUUCUUGCAGAAAAGCAGGUUUCACCUUCAAACUUACCAGAGAAUUGGCUAUAUUGAUGAAUAUUUAUUUUUGCAUGUUCACAGUCAUAUGAAAAUUCAAAGAAAGCUAAGUGCCUCUCUGAACUUUAAUUUCUAUAUAUAUAAAAUCAGGUCACUUAGCUAGAAGUUUAGUUGCUGCUGGAAUAUGUAUUCGAGGAGUAUGCAUGGUUCUGCUAUUAGCAAUUUGUAUAUAUGUUAGAUACUUUCGCAAGAAGAAUGGAGAAGAGUCUAAAUUGCCACCAGAAGAUUCUAUGUCACCUUCAACUAAAGAUGGUAUAUGUACAACUUUCGUACUCAAAUUCCUUGCAUGACCCUUACCUCUUAAAUAUAGUGAAUGAACUGUUCCAUUAUUCAUGAGUUCAACUUAUUUUUUACCUCCCAUAGGUGAUAAAGAUAGCUAUAGUGAUACUAGAUCCAA
This 3747-nucleotide long non-coding RNA is filed under the name Medicago truncatula (barrel medic). Its description in RNAcentral is "long non-coding RNA (MTRU_LNC003613)". Lineage: Eukaryota; Viridiplantae; Streptophyta; Magnoliopsida; Fabales; Fabaceae. The record is from RNAcentral.